This 455-nucleotide ribosomal RNA is filed under the name uncultured Prevotella sp. RNAcentral describes it as "partial 16S ribosomal RNA". It matches the Rfam family "Bacterial small subunit ribosomal RNA", at positions 341 to 792 of the family's 1533-position model. Lineage: Bacteria; Pseudomonadati; Bacteroidota; Bacteroidia; Bacteroidales; Prevotellaceae. The record is from RNAcentral.
ACGGGAGGCAGCAGUGAGGAAUAUUGGUCAAUGGGCGAGAGCCUGAACCAGCCAAGUAGCGUGAAGGAUGACGGCCCUACGGGUUGUAAACUUCUUUUGCCGGGGGAUAAAAAACGGGACGUGUCCCGUCUUGCAGGUACCCGUGCGAAUAAGGACCGGCUAAUUCCGUGCCAGCAGCCGCGGUAAUACGGAAGGUCCGAGCGUUAUCCGGAUUUAUUGGGUUUAAAGGGAGCGUAGGCUGGGUUUUAAGCAUGUUGUGAAAUGUAGGCGCUCAACGUCUGCACUGCAGCGUGAACUGGAGUCCUUGAGUGCGCGGGAAGUGGGCGGAAUUCGUGGUGUAGCGGUGAAAUGCUUAGAUAUCACGAAGAACUCCGAUUGCGAAGGCAGCUCACUGUAGCGUUACUGACGCUGAAGCUCGAAAGUGCGGGUAUCGAACAGGAUUAGAUACCCUGGUA